RNAcentral lists this ribosomal RNA (451 nucleotides) under uncultured bacterium. Its description in RNAcentral is "partial 16S ribosomal RNA". It matches the Rfam family "Bacterial small subunit ribosomal RNA", at positions 354 to 796 of the family's 1533-position model. The record is from RNAcentral.
GUGGGGAAUAUUGGACAAUGGGGGGAACCCUGAUCCAGCCAUGCCGCGUGUGUGAAGAAGGCCUUUUGGUUGUAAAGCACUUUAAGCGAGGAGGAGGCUACCGAGAUUAAUACUCUUGGAUAGUGGACGUUACUCGCAGAAUAAGCACCGGCUAACUCUGUGCCAGCAGCCGCGGUAAUACAGAGGGUGCAAGCGUUAAUCGGAUUUACUGGGCGUAAAGCGCGCGUAGGUGGCCAAUUAAGUCAAAUGUGAAAUCCCCGAGCUUAACUUGGGAAUUGCAUUCGAUACUGGUUGGCUAGAGUAUGGGAGAGGAUGGUAGAAUUCCAGGUGUAGCGGUGAAAUGCGUAGAGAUCUGGAGGAAUACCGAUGGCGAAGGCAGCCAUCUGGCCUAAUACUGACACUGAGGUGCGAAAGCAUGGGGAGCAAACAGGAUUAGAAACCCCGGUAGCCC